AUUGAACGCUGGCGGCAUGCCUUACACAUGCAAGUCGAACGGCAUCAUGAUCUAGCUUGCUAGAUUGAUGGCGAGUGGCGAACGGGUGAGUAAUACAUCGGAACGUGCCCUGUCGUGGGGGAUAACUAGUCGAAAGAUUAGCUAAUACCGCAUACGACCUGAGGGUGAAAGUGGGGGACCGCAAGGCCUCAUGCUAUAGGAGCGGCCGAUGUCUGAUUAGCUAGUUGGUGAGGUAAAGGCUCACCAAGGCGACGAUCAGUAGCUGGUCUGAGAGGACGAUCAGCCACACUGGGACUGAGACACGGCCCAGACUCCUACGGGAGGCAGCAGUGGGGAAUUUUGGACAAUGGGCGAAAGCCUGAUCCAGCAAUGCCGCGUGUGUGAAGAAGGCCUUCGGGUUGUAAAGCACUUUUGUCCGGAAAGAAAUGGCUCUGGUUAAUACCUGGGGUCGAUGACGGUACCGGAAGAAUAAGAACCGGCUAACUACGUG
RNAcentral lists this ribosomal RNA (490 nucleotides) under uncultured bacterium. RNAcentral's name for it is "partial 16S ribosomal RNA". It matches the Rfam family "Bacterial small subunit ribosomal RNA", at positions 30 to 507 of the family's 1533-position model. The record is from RNAcentral.